AUCCAAUAUCAGCUGCUCUGUUUAGGCUACAAAACGUGCAUGCAGGCUGAAAUUCAACCGUGCGGUUUUGUUGGGAUAAAGCUAUAAGCAGAAGGCAUAUCCGCUAGCUGCUAGGCUGAUGUGCAAUGGUAAACACACAGAAUAUAGUACACGCACAUAGCAGAGUUUGCAAACUGUGGCUAUUUUUGUUACCAAAGC
Molecule: long non-coding RNA, 198 nt
Organism: Etheostoma spectabile (orangethroat darter)
Lineage: Eukaryota; Metazoa; Chordata; Actinopteri; Perciformes; Percidae
Exons: 3
Source: RefSeq, a predicted model, not a curated record